GAUGAACGCUGGCGGCGUGCCUAAUACAUGCAAGUCGAGCGAGCGGACGAGAAGCUUGCUUCUCUGAUGUUAGCGGCGGACGGGUGAGUAACACGUGGAUAACCUACCUAUAAGACUGGGAUAACUUCGGGAAACCGGAGCUAAUACCGGAUAAUAUUUUGAACCGCAUGGUUCAAAAGUGAAAGACGGUCUUGCUGUCACUUAUAGAUGGAUCCGCGCUGCAUUAGCUAGUUGGUAAGGUAACGGCUUACCAAGGCAACGAUGCAUAGCCGACCUGAGAGCGUGGUCGGCCACACUGUAACUGAGACACGGUCCAGACUCCGACGGGAGGCAGCAGUAGGGAAUCUUACGCGAUGGGCGAAAGCCUAACGGAGCAAAGCCGCGUGAGUGAUGAAGGUCUUCGGAUCGUAGAACUCUGUUAUUAGGGAAGAACAUAUGUGUAAGUAACUGUGCACAUCUUGACGGUACCGAAUCAGAAAGCCACGGCUAACUACGUG
Molecule: ribosomal RNA, 497 nt
Filed under: uncultured bacterium
Lineage: Bacteria
Description: partial 16S ribosomal RNA
Rfam family: Bacterial small subunit ribosomal RNA
Source: RNAcentral